AUGCGCGGCGCGAGCGGCCGGGCCCCACAGCCGCAGGUCGUUGGUAAGGCGGGUCCGCGGACCCCAGGUCGAGCCCAGCGGCAGUGCAGGAUCGCAAGCGGCCCGGCACCGGCGCCGCAGGUUACAAAAACCUGAGACUUCCAUUUUGCUGGAAACUUCUUUUCCUCUUGCACACUCACUCUGCGACUCUGUGUGGAGAGCUCCAUGUGACAAGGGAGGUCUGCAGCCUAAGCAACUGAGACCUCAGCCCAACAGCCCUCAAAGAACUGGAUCUUCAAACAACCACAUGAGUGACCUAGAAGCAAAUCUGUCACCAGUGCUCUUGAGACGGAGAAAAGAUCAUGAUCUAAGAGUCUACAAGACCAGAGCAGCCUGAAUUGCUGAGCUGCCUGGUGGAGAAUAGCAGCAUUGGGUGGUUCCCAGGAUUCUUAAAAGGACUUUACAAAGGCCUGGCCUAAUCACUUAAGAGCUCUUAAGGAGUGAAUGGGCUCUUCCUGAAAAAAGAGCUUCUG
Molecule: long non-coding RNA, 512 nt
Filed under: Homo sapiens (human)
Lineage: Eukaryota; Metazoa; Chordata; Mammalia; Primates; Hominidae
Description: non-protein coding lnc-PLCB1-1:6
Source: RNAcentral